Molecule: ribosomal RNA, 254 nt
Filed under: uncultured bacterium
Lineage: Bacteria
Description: partial 16S ribosomal RNA
Rfam family: Bacterial small subunit ribosomal RNA
Source: RNAcentral
UACGGGGGGGGCAAGCGUUGUUCGGAAUUACUGGGCGUAAAGGGCGCGUAGGCGGCCUGCUAAGUCGGACGUGAAAUCCCUCGGCUCAACCGGGGAACUGCGUCCGAUACUGGCGAGGCUUGAAUCCGGGAGAGGGAUGUGGAAUUCCAGGUGUAGCGGUGAAAUGCGUAGAUAUCUGGAGGAACACCGGUGGCGAAGGCGGGUCUCUGGGCAACAACUGACGCUGAGGAGCGAAAGCGUGGGGAGCGAACAGG